This 256-nucleotide ribosomal RNA is filed under the name uncultured Bacillus sp. RNAcentral describes it as "partial 16S ribosomal RNA". It matches the Rfam family "Bacterial small subunit ribosomal RNA", at positions 1127 to 1382 of the family's 1533-position model. Lineage: Bacteria; Bacillati; Bacillota; Bacilli; Caryophanales; Bacillaceae. The record is from RNAcentral.
AAGGCGAGGCACUCUAGACGAACUGCCGUUGACAAACGGAGGAAGGUGGGGAUGACGUCAAAUCAUCAUGCCCCCUUAUGUUCUGGGCUACACACGUGCUACAAUGGCCGGUACAGACGGACGCAAAGCCGCGAGGUGGAGCAAAUCCUAAAAAGCCGGUCUCAGUUCGGAUUGCAGGCUGCAAUUCGCCUGCAUGAAGUCGGAAUCGCUAGUAAUCGCAGGUCAGCAUACUGCGGUGAAUACGUUCCCGGGCCUU